GACGAACGCUGGCGGCGUGCUUAACACAUGCAAGUCGAACGCUGAGGCUUUGCUCUUGCACGGUGCUGGUGAGUGGCGCAGGUGUGUGAAAUAUGAGAGUAACCCGCUUUUGAUUCGGGUAAAUUCCUGGGAAUCGGGGUCAUACACUGUAUACGACAUUGCACCGCAGGGGGGUGUGUGGAAAGUGUUCUGCUGGUUUUGGAUUGGCUGACGGUCUAUUAGCUUGUUGGUGGGGUAAUGGCUCACCAAGGCGCGGACGGGUAGCCGGCCUGGGAGGGUGACCGGCCACACUGGGACUGAGACACGGCCCAGACUCCUACGGGAGGCAGCAGUGGGGAAUAUUGCACAAUGGGCGGAAGCCUGAUGCAGCAACGCCGCGUGCGGGAUGACGGCCUUCGGGUUGUAAACCUCUUUCGGCUGGGAAGAAGCGAGAGUGACGGUAAUUGGAAAAGAAGCGCCGGCUAACUACGUG
This 472-nucleotide ribosomal RNA is filed under the name uncultured bacterium. RNAcentral's name for it is "partial 16S ribosomal RNA". It matches the Rfam family "Bacterial small subunit ribosomal RNA", at positions 28 to 507 of the family's 1533-position model. The record is from RNAcentral.